AAGCGCUUCAAGGACUCUGGAAAACGCCGGGGCGAAGAUCGGCGCAAGGAGCGCUUCGAGCGAGAGCGGCUCCUGGAAGAAAUGGCCACGGAUCGGCGUCGGCGGUGGCAGAAAGCAAACCCCGGUGCGGGAGGAUACC
Molecule: non-coding RNA, 139 nt
Filed under: Pseudo-nitzschia delicatissima
Lineage: Eukaryota; Bacillariophyta; Bacillariophyceae; Bacillariales; Bacillariaceae
Source: RNAcentral